UUCAGGGAAAAUUGUAGAAAUGGAACAAGCUUCUGAUUUGUUGCUGUGCCUCACUGCCUGGCAAGCCUUCCGUCACUGUGCUUGGAAUUCGAGGUGCUGCCCCUUUUACCCCACCAAAACUGUAUAUCUUGAAUGACAAAAGCCUCGUAUUUUCGGGUGUCGCUCGAUUAUUUAUGAAAAUUGGGGGGGCGCGCCUCGAACAGAGCAUGCCUUCUGUUUCAAAUGUGCAAUUUUGCUGGGUUAAAACGGGCAAAGCGACGCUCCUGAGCAGAGCACGGCAGGCCCCAGGCAUCUGGGAUAAUAUCAUUGUCGGGUGAUCUGUAAAUUCCCUGGCCGGCACUUGGCUUUGUACUGUAGCUUUUGUUGACAGAAGGCAAUGCGCUGUGUCGGGUUUGCUAGCCGUUUAUGCCUUUUGUUAGACACGUGUUUUUUCCUUUCGGUUUUGCCAUCAUGCCGACGAGGAAGGAACUGGUGUCACCCCGGUGUGAAUAUGAUGACUGGCUGGCUGGCAAGUACGUACCUGACGCAUUUUCUUCAAAAAAGAUCGGAUUUGUGAUCCUUGGUCCCUUUUGGCGACCCUGUGGAGCGCGGACAAACCAAAUCCGGUCUUGUGCAGGUCGCAGAACGAAAGAGAAACGGA
Molecule: long non-coding RNA, 640 nt
Filed under: Triticum aestivum (bread wheat)
Lineage: Eukaryota; Viridiplantae; Streptophyta; Magnoliopsida; Poales; Poaceae
Description: long non-coding RNA (TAES_LNC022234)
Source: RNAcentral